RNAcentral lists this ribosomal RNA (281 nucleotides) under uncultured bacterium. Its description in RNAcentral is "partial 16S ribosomal RNA". It matches the Rfam family "Bacterial small subunit ribosomal RNA", at positions 78 to 353 of the family's 1533-position model. The record is from RNAcentral.
GCUUGCUUUCUUUGCUGGCGACCGGCGCACGGGUGAGUAACACGUAUCCAACCUACCCUUUACUCGGGGAUAGCCUUUCGAAAGAAAGAUUAAUACCCGAUAGCAUAAUGAUUCCGCAUGGUUUCAUUAUUAAAGGAUUCCGGUAAAGGAUGGGGGAUGCGUUCCAUUAGGUUGUUGGUGGGGUAACGGCCCACCAAGCCUUCGAUGGAUAGGGGUUCUGAGAGGAAGGUCCCCCACAUUGGAACUGAGACACGGUCCAAACUCCUACGGGAGGCAGCAUG